This 359-nucleotide ribosomal RNA is filed under the name uncultured bacterium. RNAcentral describes it as "bacterial SSU rRNA". It matches the Rfam family "Bacterial small subunit ribosomal RNA", at positions 30 to 389 of the family's 1533-position model. The record is from RNAcentral.
AUUGAACGCUGGCGGCAUGCCUUACACAUGCAAGUCGAACGGCAGCACGGGAGCAAUCCUGGUGGCGAGUGGCGAACGGGUGAGUAAUAUAUCGGAACGUGCCCAGUCGUGGGGGGAUAACGUAGCGAAAGCUACGCUAAUACCGCAUACGAUCUAUGGAUGAAAGCGGGGGAUCGCAAGACCUCGCGCGAUUGGAGCGGCCGAUAUCAGAUUAGGUAGUUGGUGGGGUAAAGCCUACCAAGCCUUCGAUCUGUAGCUGGUCUGAGAGGACGACCAGCCACACUGGAACUGAGACACGGUCCAGACUCCUACGGGAGGCAGCAGUGGGGAAUUUUGGACAAUGGGCGCAAGCCUGAUCC